Molecule: unclassified non-coding RNA, 700 nt
Filed under: Hevea brasiliensis (rubber tree)
Lineage: Eukaryota; Viridiplantae; Streptophyta; Magnoliopsida; Malpighiales; Euphorbiaceae
Source: RNAcentral
AGACAGUCACACAAAGGUCCAUGAAUAACUUGUCAUAUCUUUGGCUCUUUGCCAAAAAGUUCUUCUUGCUAAGAAGCCAACAUAGUGAACAUAUCGACAAGAGAAUCAGAACUUCCACCAACUUUCAUCAGAUUAUCAAUAUUGAUGAUCGUCAAUCCACCUACUCAGUUUACUCAUUUGAUGAAUUGGCAUCAAAGCACAUAAACUUGGACCUUAUGGAAAACCAUCUCCAUUGCAUGGCUAUGCAGAUUCCCUGAAUCCACCACAUUGGGCCACUCAUUGAGACAGUGCAUAUCACAGAUACCAAGUCUCUUCUUGCUUCAAAGGAUACACAUUCCACUAAAUCUGUCCAGAAACUCACAUUGUGUUCAUCAGUGACCAAAUAAUUCCUCCAAGCCCAGGCUGCAUUAGUACAAGAUACCUCCCAUUUAUAAUAAACAGCUAAGUUUGUGUAUAUUGGGAGAACAUGGAUAGCUUAAGGGCCCAAAGAUUAAUUUCCCUGAGAAACUGUUACUGCUUUCCCACACAACAAUUUAUUCAUUUAUAAUGAGCAUAUUGCACUCAAAACCUCUGCACAGAAUCAUACCACAGAAUUGAAGAGUAACAAGAAGAGCUGAAAUGCUAAAACAAUUAUUAGUACUCUGCUUACACAAAUUAUUUUCCACACAGACCAUUUUCAUUAGAUAAGGGCGCUAAGAAA